GACGAACGCUGGCGGCGUGCUUAACACAUGCAAGUCGAACGGAAAGGCCCCUUUGGGGGUACUCGAGUGGCGAACGGGUGAGUAACACGUGAGUAACCUGCCCUUGACUUCGGGAUAACUUCAGGAAACUGGGGCUAAUACCGGAUAGGAAUCCUUGCUGCAUGGUGGGGGUUGGAAAGCUUCGGCGGUUUUGGAUGGACUCGCGGCUUAUCAGCUUGUUGGUGGGGUAGUGGCUUACCAAGGCUUUGACGGGUAGCCGGCCUGAGAGGGCGACCGGCCAAAUUGGGACUGAGAUACGGCCCAGACGCCUACGGGAGGCAGCAGUGGGGAAUAUUGCACAAUGGGCGGAAGCCUGAUGCAGCAACGCCGCGUGCGGGAUGACGGCCUUCGGGUUGUAAACCGCUUUCAGCAGGGGCGAAGCUUGUGGUGACGGUACCUGCAGAAGAAGCACCGGCUAACUACGUG
RNAcentral lists this ribosomal RNA (465 nucleotides) under uncultured bacterium. RNAcentral's name for it is "partial 16S ribosomal RNA". It matches the Rfam family "Bacterial small subunit ribosomal RNA", at positions 28 to 507 of the family's 1533-position model. The record is from RNAcentral.